UGGGGGAUAUUGCACAAUGGGCGAAAGCCUGAUGCAGCGACGCCGCGUGGGGGAUGAAGGCUUUCGGGUGGUAAACCUCUUUCGCUAUCGAACAAGGCCCGCUUAGGGUGGGUUGAGGGUAGGUGGAGAAGAAGCGCCGGCUAACUACGUGCCAGCAGCCGCGGUAAUACGUAGGGCGCGAGCGUUGUCCGGAAUUAUUGGGCGUAAAGGGCUUGUAGGCGGCUUGUUGCGCCUGCUGUGAAAACGCGGGGCUUAACUGUGCGCAUGCAGUGGGUACGGGCAGGCUUGAGUGUGGUAGGGGUGACUGGAAUUCCAGGUGUAGCGGUGGAAUGCGCAGAUAUCUGGAGGACCACCGAUGGCGAAGGCAGGUCACUGGGCCAUUACUGACGCUGAGGAGCGAAAGCAUGGGUAGCGAACAGG
RNAcentral lists this ribosomal RNA (420 nucleotides) under bacterium. RNAcentral's name for it is "partial 16S ribosomal RNA". It matches the Rfam family "Bacterial small subunit ribosomal RNA", at positions 355 to 776 of the family's 1533-position model. The record is from RNAcentral.